AUGGAACUAGGGAUGUUGGUAAACCUACAAGGAUUGUUAGAUCUAAGUGACAAUUCAUUUAGUAGCAUGAUACCAACUCAGUUGGGUGAUCUUACCAUGCUUGAAGCCUUGAAUCUUGCACAUAAUGCAUUAAGCGGCAGAAUUCCGCCAUCAUUUCAACGCAUGAACAGCCUCUUAUACAUGGAUGUGUCUUAUAACAAACUAGAAGGGCCCGUGCCACAAAGCAGGCUCUUCAAAGAAGCUCCAACCGAAUGGUUCGUGCAUAAUACACAUUUAUGCGGUGAUGGUGUGAAAAGUCUGUCCCCUUGUGACCACACGUCAAGUUAUCAAAAAGGAAGGAAGUCUAGAGCUAUUUUACUAGCUACAAUACCUGCCACUGUGACUUUUUUGCUCAUUACUGCACUAGCAACAUGGCAAUGUAAAAGGAAGAAAUCCAAGGCUGAAAGUGCAAAGGGACUGGAACAGGUCAAGAUGUUCGCCAUCUGGAACUUUGACGGGGAAGAUGUGUACAAGCAAAUUAUUGACGCCACAAAAGGAUUCAGCGAUGCUCACUGCAUUGGAACUGGAGGGAGUGGAUCUAUCUAUAGAGCCCAGUUACCAACAGGUGAAAUAUUUGCAGUGAAGAAGAUUCACACGAUGGAAGAUGACAAGCUAUUCCAUCGUGAAAUAGAUGCUUUGAUUCAUAUUCGGCAUCGCAACAUUGUGAAGUUAUUUGGCUACUGCUCUGCUGCUCAUCAGAGAUUUCUUGUGUAUGAAUAUAUGGAUAGGGGAAGCUUAGCAAAAUCUUUGCAGAGCAAGGAAACUGCAAUUGAGUUGGAUUGGGCAAGAAGAUUAAAUAUCACUAAGGAUGUUGCAAAUGCUCUGUCCUACAUGCAUCAUGAUUGCUUUGCACCGAUAGUCCAUAGAGAUGUAACUAGCAGCAACAUUUUGCUUGAUAUGGAUUUCAGUGCCUGUAUAUCAGAUUUUGAUCUAGCAAAAGUACUAGAUGGAGAUGCACCAAACUGUACAAGGCUUGCUGGGACGAACGGAUAUCUUGCCCCAGAGCUUGCGUACUCAACAAGGGUGACAGAGAAGUGUGAUGUCUAUAGCUUUGGAGUACUUGUGCUCGAGUUGUUCAUGGGACAUCAUCCAGGUGAUUUUCUUUCUUCCAUGGCCAACAGAAGUGCACCACUUGAGGAUUUGUUGGACAUCCGGCUCCCAUUCCCUGAAACUGAAAUAGCAAGUGAAAUAUUCAAAGUGAUCGUGUUUGCUGUUUGUUGCAUAGAACCAAAUCCAUCAUACCGUCCAACGAUGCAACAAGCAAUCAAGGCGUUCUCUACAACUGAAAGACCUGAUGAUCAGCUUGAUUAUCAGCAAACUGACAUUGUCAUCCCUUCCACCUAG
RNAcentral lists this ribosomal RNA (1383 nucleotides) under Triticum aestivum (bread wheat). RNAcentral describes it as "partial small subunit ribosomal RNA". Lineage: Eukaryota; Viridiplantae; Streptophyta; Magnoliopsida; Poales; Poaceae. The record is from RNAcentral.